Long non-coding RNA from Mustela lutreola (European mink), 808 nucleotides. RefSeq lists it as uncharacterized. NCBI's taxonomy places the organism in Eukaryota, Metazoa, Chordata, Mammalia, Carnivora, Mustelidae. The record is from RefSeq and is a predicted model, not a curated record. The transcript has 4 exons.
UGGGUUUUCCAAGAAAUAUCUUCCUGAGCCCUUGCUGAGGAAUAGCUGAAUUUCCUUUCUUGUUUGUGUUUUUCUUUUCCGUUCUUGUUUUUGUUUCUUCUAGCGAGGAUACAUCCUUAUUGGUUGGAGAGUUGAGUUGAGCAAGUUUUUGGUUUCUUCAGCUCCUAGGCCCGGUCCCGUGCUGGACAAUGUCCCUGAAGGACCCUGCGAUCACCGCACAGCCAAGUUCACCACUCUAGUUGAAAUCCGAAUCUUCAGCAUACCCACGGGCUCCCAGGACAUCGUGUGCCCAAGGUGCCUCAGCCCCCGCGCCUGAGGGGGAGAAGUGCCCUUGCCUCGUGGUCCUGGAGGAUGGCUCAGACACCCACCGCAGGCGCCGUGAGAGCAGAGAGCCGCUGGUUCGUCACCAGAGGUCGGCAACGAGGGCAGAUCGUGAUCUUGUGACCCAAGAUUCCACAUGUAUAUGAGAUCAUACAGUAUUCGACCAAAGAAAAUAUUAGUGGAGCCCUCCGUCUACUUUGCAAACAUGGUAAGAGUUGUUUUAUGAAACCAGUAUUGGAAAUAGGCAACUAGCGUCAGCCUAUACCUUAGUUGGCCUGCUUUGUGCUUUGGCUGUAUUGAUGCAGAUUCGACCUGCAGUAGACCUGGGUCUCCCCAAAAUGAGCUCCAAGACACUGGCUUCUUUAGCCAACAUUCUCAUGCAGCAGAAGGAGCAAAUGCUAAGGUGGGAAGGGGAAAUGAGGCAACAGACAGGGAGAGGCUUCUGCCAAGGCACUCCAUUGAGGUCGUCUGGGUCAGCAUGAGGCCU